Molecule: ribosomal RNA, 988 nt
Filed under: Turicibacter sanguinis
Lineage: Bacteria; Bacillati; Bacillota; Erysipelotrichia; Erysipelotrichales; Turicibacteraceae
Description: partial 23S ribosomal RNA
Rfam family: Bacterial large subunit ribosomal RNA
Source: RNAcentral
GUCCUAAGGUAGCGAAAUUCCUUGUCGGGUAAGUUCCGACCUGCACGAAUGGCAUAACGAUGGCCACACUGUCUCCUCCCGAGACUCAGUGAAGUUGAAAUGUUUGUGAUGAUGCAAUCUACCCGCGGCUAGACGGAAAGACCCCAUGAACCUUUACUGCAGCUUUGCAUUGAACUGUGAACCGAUUUGUGUAGGAUAGGUGGGAGGCAGAGAAGAGGCCACGCCAGUGGUCUUGGAGCCGACCUUGAAAUACCACCCUGAUUUGUUUGCGGUUCUAACCACGGACAGUGAUCCUGUCUUGGGACCGUGCAUGGUAGGCAGUUUGACUGGGGCGGUCUCCUCCUAAAGGGUAACGGAGGAGUACGAAGGUACGCUAGGUACGGUCGGAAAUCGUGCUGAUAGUGCAAUGGCAAAAGCGUGCUUGACUGCGAGAGCAACAACUCGAGCAGAUGCGAAAGCAGGUCAUAGUGAUCCGGUGGCUCUGAAUGGAAGGGCCAUCGCUCAACGGAUAAAAGGUACUCUGGGGAUAACAGGCUGAUACCGCCCAAGAGUUCAUAUCGACGGCGGUGUUUGGCACCUCGAUGUCGGCUCAUCUCAUCCUGGGGCUGUAGUCGGUCCCAAGGGUAUGGCUGUUCGCCAUUUAAAGAGGUACGUGAGCUGGGUUUAAAACGUCGUGAGACAGUUUGGUCCCUAUCUGCCGUGGGCGUUGGAAGAUUGACGGGGGCUGCUCCUAGUACGAGAGGACCGGAGUGGACGCACCUCUGGUGUACCGGUUGUCACGCCAGUGGCAUUGCCGGGUAGCUAAGUGCGGAAGAGAUAACCGCUGAAAGCAUCUAAGCGGGAAACUUGCCUGAAGAUGAGUCUUCCCGGAGGUUGAACCUCCCUCAAGAGUCGUCCGAGACCAGGACGUCGAUAGGUCAGGUGUGUAAGCGCUGUAAGGCGUUGAGCUAACUGAUACUAAUUGCUCGUGAGGCUUGAUCCUAUAACC